GAUGAACGCUGGCGGCGUGCCUAAUACAUGCAAGUCGAGCGAACAGACGAGGAGCUUGCUCCUUUGACGUUAGCGGCGGACGGGUGAGUAACACGUAGGUAACCUACCUAUAAGACUGGGAUAACUUCGGGAAACCGGAGCUAAUACCGGAUAAUAUUUCGAACCGCAUGGUUCGAUAGUGAAAGAUGGCUUUGCUAUCACUUAUAGAUGGACCUGCGCCGUAUUAGCUAGUUGGUAAGGUAACGGCUUACCAAGGCAACGAUACGUAGCCGACCUGAAAGGGUGAUCGGCCACACUGGAACUGAGACACGGUCCAGACUCCUACGGGAGGCAGCAGUAGGGAAUCUGCCGCAAUGGGCGAAAGCCUGACGGAGCAACGCCGCGUGAGUGAUGAAGGUCUUCGGAUCGUAAAACUCUGUUAUUAGGGAAGAACAAACGUGUAAGUAACUGUGCACGUCUUGACGGUACCUAAUCAGAAAGCCACGGCUAACUACGUG
This 497-nucleotide ribosomal RNA is filed under the name uncultured bacterium. Its description in RNAcentral is "partial 16S ribosomal RNA". It matches the Rfam family "Bacterial small subunit ribosomal RNA", at positions 28 to 507 of the family's 1533-position model. The record is from RNAcentral.